GACGAACGCUGGCGGCGUGCCUAAUACAUGCAAGUAGAACGCUGAAGGAGGAGCUUGCUUCUCUGGAUGAGUUGCGAACGGGUGAGUAACGCGUAGGUAACCUGCCUGGUAGCGGGGGAUAACUAUUGGAAACGAUAGCUAAUACCGCAUAAGAGUAGAUGUUGCAUGACAUUUGCUUAAAAGGUGCAAUUGCAUCACUACCAGAUGGACCUGCGUUGUAUUAGCUAGUUGGUGGGGUAACGGCUCACCAAGGCGACGAUACGUAGCCGACCUGAGAGGGUGAUCGGCCACACUGGGACUGAGACACGGCCCAGACGCCUACGGGAGGCAGCAGUAGGGAAUCUUCGGCAAUGGACGGAAGUCUGACCGAGCAACGCCGCGUGAGUGAAGAAGGUUUUCGGAUCGUAAAGCUCUGUUGUAAGAGAAGAACGAGUGUGAGAGUGGAAAGUUCACGCUGUGACGGUAUCUUACCAGAAAGGGACGGCUAACUACGUG
Molecule: ribosomal RNA, 495 nt
Filed under: uncultured bacterium
Lineage: Bacteria
Description: partial 16S ribosomal RNA
Rfam family: Bacterial small subunit ribosomal RNA
Source: RNAcentral